Molecule: non-coding RNA, 158 nt
Filed under: uncultured Agathobacter sp.
Lineage: Bacteria; Bacillati; Bacillota; Clostridia; Lachnospirales; Lachnospiraceae
Source: RNAcentral
GAAGAAUAUUAGUUUUUCUUAAUGUUCUGCUCACAAUCCAGCAAUCCGGCAACAGGACGUUGGCGGAAGCGAAAGCUGAGCCAUGGAUGGCGAAUCUUGAGCGUUUGCGUCUUUUCCCACAACUUAACCCAGAACAUUUAGAAAAUCUUAUAUUCGUA